GUUAAAACUGAUGUAAGUUAAAGCUGUAAUGAAUGUUCAUUAUAUUGUAUGCUGUCAUUGGAUCAAUGAGGAAGAACCUGGACAGGAAACUGUAACUAAUCCACUUGUGAAGUAUUCCCUUUUUACUUCCAAUUCUCAGGUGUCCUACAUUAGCCAAGACUGUGAAGAAAUUCCAGAAUUCCUGGGAAGAAAAUACGGACAUAUGGCAAAAAGGCUAGAUCUUAGUUUCAACUUGUUAAGAUGGACUGAAGACCAGUGUGAUGAUGGAUUCGCUUUCUGUGUGGUAUUUCCUCAUCACUGCUGUUGUGCAAGAAGAACGAAGGACUGCAGAAAUAACUGUUGUCUGAGGACAAGGAGCUUAACCGAAAGGAAGAAUCUACAUUAA
Molecule: long non-coding RNA, 385 nt
Filed under: Struthio camelus australis
Lineage: Eukaryota; Metazoa; Chordata; Aves; Struthioniformes; Struthionidae
Description: lncRNA (ENSSCUG00000005918.1)
Source: RNAcentral